AACGAACGCUGGCGGCAGGCCUAACACAUGCAAGUCGAACGCCGUAGCAAUACGGAGUGGCAGACGGGUGAGUAACGCGUGGGAACCUACCUUACGGUCGGGAAUAGCUCAGGGAAACUUGGGGUAAUACCGGAUAAGCCCUUACGGGGAAAGAUUUAUCGCCGUUAGAUGGGCCCGCGUAGGAUUAGCUAGUUGGUGAGGUAAUGGCUCACCAAGGCGACGAUCCUUAGCUGGUCUGAGAGGAUGAUCAGCCACACUGGGACUGAGACACGGCCCAGACUCCUACGGGAGGCAGCAGUGGGGAAUAUUGGACAAUGGGCGCAAGCCUGAUCCAGCCAUGCCGCGUGAGUGACGAAGGCCUUAGGGUUGUAAAGCUCUUUUGGCGGGGAAGAUAAUGACGGUACCCGCAGAAUAAGCUCCGGCUAACUUCGUGCCAGCAGCCGCGGUAAGGUGACGCUCU
RNAcentral lists this ribosomal RNA (460 nucleotides) under uncultured bacterium. RNAcentral describes it as "bacterial SSU rRNA". It matches the Rfam family "Bacterial small subunit ribosomal RNA", at positions 29 to 534 of the family's 1533-position model. The record is from RNAcentral.